This 443-nucleotide ribosomal RNA is filed under the name uncultured bacterium. RNAcentral describes it as "partial 16S ribosomal RNA". It matches the Rfam family "Bacterial small subunit ribosomal RNA", at positions 338 to 795 of the family's 1533-position model. The record is from RNAcentral.
CCUACGGGUGACAGCAGUGGGGAAUAUUGGGCAAUGGGCGCAAGCCUGACCCAGCAACGCCGCGUGAAGGAAGAAGGCUUUCGGGUUGUAAACUUCUUUUCUCAGGGACGAAGCAAGUGACGGUACCUGAGGAAUAAGCCACGGCUAACUACGUGCCAGCAGCCGCGGUAAUACGUAGGUGGCAAGCGUUAUCCGGAUUUACUGGGUGUAAAGGGCGUGUAGGCGGGACUGCAAGUCAGAAGUGAAAACCAAGAGCUCAACCUGUGGACUGCAUUUGAAACUGUAGUUCUUGAGGACUGGAGAGGAAGACAGAAUUCCUAGUGUAGCGGUGAAAUGCGUAGAUAUUAGGAGGAACACCAGUGGCGAAGGCGGUAUGCUGGACAGAAACUGACGCUGAGGCGCGAAAGCGUGGGGAGCAAACAGGAUUAGAUACCCUAGUAGUC